GACGAACGCUGGCGGCGUGCUUAACACAUGCAAGUCGAACGGAAAGGCCCUGCUUUUGUGGGGUGCUCGAGUGGCGAACGGGUGAGUAACACGUGAGUAACCUGCCCUUGACUUUGGGAUAACUUCAGGAAACUGGGGCUAAUACCGGAUAGGAGCUCCUGCUGCAUGGUGGGGGUUGGAAAGUUUCGGCGGUUGGGGAUGGACUCGCGGCUUAUCAGCUUGUUGGUGGGGUAGUGGCUUACCAAGGCUUUGACGGGUAGCCGGCCUGAGAGGGUGACCGGCCACAUUGGGACUGAGAUACGGCCCAGACUCCUACGGGAGGCAGCAGUGGGGAAUAUUGCACAAUGGGCGGAAGCCUGAGGCAGCAACGCCGCGUGCGGGAUGACGGCCUUCGGGUUGUAAACCGCUUUCGCCUGUGACGAAGCGUGAGUGACGGGAAUGGGUAAAGAAGCACCGGCGAACUACGU
RNAcentral lists this ribosomal RNA (467 nucleotides) under uncultured bacterium. RNAcentral describes it as "partial 16S ribosomal RNA". It matches the Rfam family "Bacterial small subunit ribosomal RNA", at positions 28 to 506 of the family's 1533-position model. The record is from RNAcentral.